Molecule: ribosomal RNA, 497 nt
Filed under: uncultured bacterium
Lineage: Bacteria
Description: partial 16S ribosomal RNA
Rfam family: Bacterial small subunit ribosomal RNA
Source: RNAcentral
GAUGAACGCUGGCGGCGUGCCUAAUACAUGCAAGUCGAGCGAACGGACGAGAAGCUUGCUUUUCUGAUGUUAGCGGCGGACGGGUGAGUAACACGUGGAUAACCUACCUAUAAGACUGGGAUAACUUCGGGAAACCGGAGCUAAUACCGGAUAAUAUUUUGAACCGCAUGGUUCAAAAGUGAAAGACGGUCUUGCUGUCACUUAUAGAUGGAUCCGCGCUGCAUUAGCUAGUUGGUAAGGUAACGGCUUACCAAGGCAACGAUGCAUAGCCGACCUGAGAGGGUGAUCGGCCACACGGGAACUGAGACACGGUCCAGACUCCUACGGGAGGCAGCAGUAGGGAAUCUUCCGCAAUGGGCGAAAGCCUGACGGAGCAACGCCGCGUGAGUGAUGAAGGUCUUCGGAUCGUAAAACUCUGUUAUUAGGGAAGAACAGAUGUGUAAGUAACUGUGCACAUCGUGACGGUACCUAAUCAGAAAGCCACGGCUAACUACGUG